AUCAAAUGGAGAGUUUGAUCCUGGCUCAGGAUGAACGCUGGCGGCAUGCCUAAUACAUGCAAGUCGAACGAAGUUUCGAGGAAGCUUGCUUCCAAAGAGACUUAGUGGCGAACGGGUGAGUAACACGUAGGUAACCUGCCCAUGUGUCCGGGAUAACUGCUGGAAACGGUAG
RNAcentral lists this ribosomal RNA (172 nucleotides) under [Clostridium] innocuum. RNAcentral describes it as "16S rRNA. Bacterial SSU". It matches the Rfam family "Bacterial small subunit ribosomal RNA", at positions 1 to 162 of the family's 1533-position model. Lineage: Bacteria; Bacillati; Bacillota; Clostridia; Eubacteriales; Clostridiaceae. The record is from RNAcentral.